RNAcentral lists this long non-coding RNA (1914 nucleotides) under Podarcis muralis (Common wall lizard). Its description in RNAcentral is "lncRNA (ENSPMRG00000019105.1)". The record is from RNAcentral. Lineage: Eukaryota; Metazoa; Chordata; Lepidosauria; Squamata; Lacertidae.
AUGGACAUACCUGAUAUUCAGUAUGUUUUUAUCAUCCUUUGUUCCCUUAAUGAGGACUUUGAUGGUGUAGCUAGCCAGAUAUCUGCUGUUCCACCAGCACAAUUAACUGUGGAAGGGGUGACGGCAAGAUUAAUGGGCGAGUUGGACAGAAGGGAGGCUUGUGCCAUAAGCACUCCUAUUUCCAGAAGUAAUGAGGAACGCCAUAUGCAAACUUGUGGUGAUACAACUGCAUUUAAAGCUGCAAAACGUUGUUGGUUCUGCAAUAAGCAAGGACAUUUUGCAAAGGACUGCAGAUCCAAAAGAAAGCAAAGUACUCCCAAGCCUGUUUCUGUUUGUCAGUCACGGUUGUCAUCUCAGCAGCCAACAUCGCACCGUAAAGACAGAAAUGAGCCGCGAGCUUUUCAUGCUCGGACAACAGAUCGUAAUAGAAUUAAAGAUGCCAAGUGGAAGUCUUUUAUUAUCGACUCAGGAGCAUCUCAGCACGUUUGCAAUGAUCGAAGCUUGUUUAUUUCUUUCGAAGAGGAAAUUGGUAAUGUACAUUUAGCCAAUUCACAAGUCUUGCAGUCGCUUGGCAGAGGUACUGUUAAACUUGACUCUUUAAACAUUACAAUAGCGAACUGCAUUUACUGCCCGUCAGUGGACAAUUUAUUGUCAGUAAGGUGCUUUGCUCGUCAAGGCAUAACUGUGCGUUUCUUAAAGUCAAUGAGUGAGUUUUUCGAUGGGAACAAACGUUUAUUGUAUGCCCGGGAAUCUGAUGGUUUAUAUAGACUGUAUUUUCGCACCUACUCACAAUUGCCUAUAAACUGCAGAGCAGCACAGUCAAGCCAGGGGUUGAAGAAUGUAAGGCCACAUUCUGGGUGUGUCCACGAGGCGCACAGAAUUCUGGGACACCUGAAUUUUGCUGAUGUAAUUAAGACAAAGAAUAUUGUUAAUGGUCUCAACUUAAAACCAUGUAAAUUCUUUAUGCAAUGUCUAUCCUGUUGCAAGAAUAAGAUUAAGGUUGCACGCAUGGGUAGGUGCUCAGAUAGGAAAGUAACUGAGCCAUUUGAGCGUGUACAUUGUGAUUUAGUUGGGCCACUCCCACCAUCAUUAGGAGGUUCUAAGUACUGGCUUACCCUGAUAGACCAGUAUAGUAGAUAUUGUUGGACUUAUGCAAUAGCUGAAAAGUCACAAGCAUUUGAAAAGUAUAAAGUUUUUUGCAACUGGGUAAAAACGCACUUUAACAAACCAAUUAAGAACCUGUUUUCUGACCGGGUCGGGGAAUUUGUUUCUGAGGAUUUUGAGAAAUUCCUGGAAGCGCAGGGGACUACUCAUGAGUUAUCUUGCCCCCAAAGUCCCUGGCAAAAUGGGCUUGUUGAAGUUGUGCAGCGUGACCUGCAGGCAGGGGUUAAAACGUAUCUGCACGAUGCUAAUCUGCCCAAAGACUUUUGGGCUGAAGCGCUUAAUGCGUUUUGUUAUGUUAGAAAUCGCAGUUAUCAUUCUGGUUUAGAUGUCACCCCCUAUGAGAAGCUGUUUAAAAAACGCCCUAAUCUGAAAUACCUACGCAUUUGGGGUUCAGAUGUAAUUAUGCAUUACCCCGCUAAGCAGAAAUUGGGUGAGCGUAGUGUUCAGGGAAAAUUAAUGGGCUACCAGCAGGGGGCGUACAGAAUUUACAUACCAGCAACUGGCAAAUUUCAUAUUACCAGAAGCAUGAUACAAACUGUAAAUUGGAAUGGAGUUGCUGUCUUCCAAGAUACUGAUGGUAUAGAUAAUACUGAGGAAGAAGAAGAGGAAGCAGCAGCAGCAGCAGGAAAUGGUGCUUCUGAAUUAAUGGGAAAAGACAAAAAGCCUGUUGAAUCUGAUAAUUUGUUUGAUGAUUUAAUGUCACAGGCACCCGAGGGGAUGUUAGAUUCUCUUGAGUUUUCUGACCGUGAG